GGGCCCGUAGUCUAGCUCGGAUAGGACGCAGGCCUGCGGAGCCUGUGACUCGGGUUCGAAUCCCGACGGGCCCGCCA
RNAcentral lists this transfer RNA (77 nucleotides) under Hadesarchaea archaeon. RNAcentral's name for it is "tRNA-Arg". It matches the Rfam family "tRNA". Rfam says of the family: Transfer RNA (tRNA) molecules are approximately 80 nucleotides in length. Their secondary structure includes four short double-helical elements and three loops (D, anti-codon, and T loops). Further hydrogen bonds mediate the characteristic L-shaped molecular structure. tRNAs have two regions of fundamental functional importance: the anti-codon, which is responsible for specific mRNA codon recognition, and the 3' end, to which the tRNAs corresponding amino acid is attached (by aminoacyl-tRNA synthetases). tRNAs cope with the degeneracy of the genetic code in two manners: having more than one tRNA (with a specific anti-codon) for a particular amino acid; and 'wobble' base-pairing, i.e. permitting non-standard base-pairing at the 3rd anti-codon position. Lineage: Archaea; Methanobacteriati; Hadarchaeota (SeqCode); Hadarchaeia (SeqCode). The record is from RNAcentral.